This 1894-nucleotide small RNA is filed under the name Pan troglodytes (chimpanzee). RNAcentral's name for it is "processed transcript". The record is from RNAcentral. Lineage: Eukaryota; Metazoa; Chordata; Mammalia; Primates; Hominidae.
GGGUUGAUAUCUUUUGAAGAUGUGGCUGUGCACUUCACCUGGGAGGAGUGGCAGGACCUGGAUAAUGCUCAGACGACCCUGUACAGGAUGUGAUGCUGGAGACUUAAACAGCCUGCUAUCAUUACAGGAGUUGGUGUCCUUUGAGGAGGUAGCUGUGCACUUCACUGGGAGGAGUGGCAGGACCUGGAUGACGCUCAGAGGAAACUGUACAGGGACGUGAUGCUGGAGACCUACAGCAGCCUGGUAUCAUUGGGGCAUUGCAUUACCAAACCUGAGAUGAUCUUCAAGCUAGAGCAAGGAGCAGAGCCAUGGAUAGUAGAAGAAGCCCCAAACCUGAGACUUUCAGGCUAAGCCUCCCUCCUUUUGGUAGAGGCUUUUUUAUACCAUUUGGGAACUGGUUUGGAUAAGCUACCUUAAUGAAGGACCACACAUCCCUCCAGAGAUGAUAAAAGACUUUUUGUCUUUUUUGAUUUAAGAACACUUUAUCUCGUAAGCUACCUAUAGUUUACAAAAAUUCAGUAAAGUAUAAUUUUUUGAACAAAGAUGGAAGCAUUCAUUUCUUCUCCCUACUUGAUUCCUGCAAAAUUUGGAAAGUAUUUGUGAGUAUCCUUUUAUUUUUACUCGACCGAUAUCUGUUUCUCUUCAUAAACAGAAUGCCAUUGAAAACAUUGGUUAUAUUAUUAACGGUUUGACCAAAAUCUCAUAUUUAAGAAUGUGCAUAAAAUGCCUGGCUUCCAUUGCUUCCAGCCUGACAGUGAAUGAGUAAAACUUGUCACUUCUUGGCAGGCUCAAGAACUUUAAGAUUGGAAGUAAACUCUGAAACCUCUCUUGCUUUGGCCUCAAGAGGUUUUUAAACCUGAACUUUCUGUGGAUUAAUGUAGAGAGAAAGUUCUGUUUCUAAAGAAAAACUAUAAUGUGUCUGUUAGUAGAUUGUAAAUCUGUGCAUUCUUUUCAAGUUCUUGUUAUCUACGUGUAGAUUACACUAGAUCCUGAAUUUUCCUAACGUAUUUCUCCUAAUUUGGCAACAACUCUCCAACUAAAAGCAAAAGCUGCUCUGUUACUAAAGCCCUAUGAGCUGAAACUAGAUAAAUUUUAAAGAAUAAAUUUGUGCCUGGUGUAUGGAUCCCAGAAAGAGUUCACCAAACCAACUGAUGUCAUGACCAAAGACAUUCAAACUACAAAGCACUAGAAGUUAAUGUUUUCAUGCCAAUUUUCCCAGGUCAUUAGAACAGAUUUUCCCAGGUCAUUGGAACAAGACUCCAUGUGAUGAGAUUUUUACCCCUCCUCCUCCUUAAUGCUAUAUUUUUCACUUGGCAGAAUAAUGAUGUGAAUGAAAAUUCACAAUCAAUAGCUUAAGCUCAUAAGUAUCCUUUGGUUAAAUGAGAAAAUGACUGUGUUAUUGUCAAUACUAUAUGCUGUACUGGAUAAAUUUCUCCAGGAAAUUAGAAAUUUGUAGACACAAAAGAAGAAGACAGGCCACAGGGUUACACCAUCUCACCUGAUUCCCUAUGGUCAUUUGAUUUAUUCAAUUAGUUGUCUGUAAGCCUAGGUUAAUGGCUCAAAGCCAUUAUACAAACUAGAAUUUUCCUAUUACUAUUUACUUCAUAAUUUCCUUUUUUAAACUGUGUAUCCAUUACUUAAGUUUUUUUUUCAAAAGUACAACUCCUAACAGAAUAAUGCCGGUACAGCACUUUGAGAUGAUAGCAAAAGAUUGCAGAACAGACAAAAUCGAACUUAAUAAUGAACUCCAGGUAGACUUAGCCUGAAAACUACUCCCUUCAAAUCUCCCUUGUUGCUCCAAAUGUGCCUAAAAGGAUUUUGACACUGACUCUUAAGUGCCAAUUACCUCCUGCCUCAAUGUGACUUGCCUGGUGAUCAAAAACACGUAACAAAA